Syngnathus acus (greater pipefish) is the source of this 631-nucleotide long non-coding RNA. RefSeq lists it as uncharacterized. The transcript has 2 exons. Lineage: Eukaryota; Metazoa; Chordata; Actinopteri; Syngnathiformes; Syngnathidae. The record is from RefSeq and is a predicted model, not a curated record.
UCGUUAUUAUUCUAAGACAAACAGAAGAAUGCCCAAGUGCGAUGUGUCAUUAAAAGCGCUUCUUGUAUGAACUUUGAGCUUUCAUCCCUUUGUGACCUUUAGAGCAGCAUAGUCACAAAUUGUUACAAAACAGCUUACAUUGUACAUUCUUCACCGGUGUUCACCUUUGGCUGUAAGCUCCUGGAAAUGUUUAAUACUGAAAUGAAGAUGUACCUAAAAGUAACGGGAUAAUAUAUCCUCGCGUUUUUAGAACAGUUCUUCUCAACUGGUGGGUCGAGUGCUAAAUUACAGACUGUCGUUAGAUCCAAAUCCAAUUGAGUACAUUUGGAAUUGCAGGAAUGAGAGUGCUGCAUCAUUGCAACUUGCAAGUAAUGUUCCUCUUACCUCCUUUUGCUACAUGUGUGAAAAUAUUUUGAACUGCUCCUAGUAUGACGUACAGUAACGCUUAGUAUUACAAUAACAAACAUUGUUGAAUUAAUACCUUGAAGGCAGCAAUCAAAACCGUGCAUUAUCUUGCCAAGCCAGUUAUUUUGAUACAGCUCUGACCUCAGUGCUCAUAUCAUAAAAACAAUACAGGCAAUUGUCAAGCAACCAUCAGCACUAAGAAAGCUGCAGCUGCAAAACAAAACAA